This is a non-coding RNA of Lytechinus variegatus (green sea urchin), 74 nucleotides long. The record is from the annotation of a RefSeq genome assembly. NCBI's taxonomy places the organism in Eukaryota, Metazoa, Echinodermata, Echinoidea, Temnopleuroida, Toxopneustidae.
GCCCGGUUAGCUCAGUUGGUAGAGAAUCAGACUUUUAAAUCUGAGAGUCGCGGGUUCGAGUCCCUCAUCGGGCG